Long non-coding RNA from Cyprinus carpio carpio, 1244 nucleotides. The record is from Ensembl. NCBI's taxonomy places the organism in Eukaryota, Metazoa, Chordata, Actinopteri, Cypriniformes, Cyprinidae.
GAUCAAACAAAUUCAGCCUCAGUGAGCAUAAGAGAUUUCUUUAAAAAAAAACAUCUUAAUUAUUCCCAAAUGUUUGAUUGUAAAAUUGCAUGGAAAAGAGCACCCUAUGCAUUCUUCAGAAGUUCUCCUUUUAUGUUUCACAGAGGAAAGAAAGUCAUUUGGUUUGGCGUGACACUAGGGCGACUAAAUGAUGACAGUUUAUUUAUGUUAUGCAUGAGAGGGGAAGUAACGAAAUGAUACAGUACUGCCUUCAGUGAAGAGCCGGUUUUAGUCAAACUGACUCACGCACAAAUGCAAACCCAAACACUGAGAUAACCAGGAGACGCCACAGGAACAGAGCAGCAGACAGACAUUCCCUCAAGACAAGAUAGUGAUGUGUGGGUGUGCAGUAAAGCACCUUCAAAUCUCUUUGGAGUGAUACAGUUAUGAUCCACAGUAUUACAGAGAAGCAGCACAUUAUGAGUCUGUAAUGCACUUCACCCGGUCAGCGGGUCACGCUGAUAAACUGCUGUCUUUCACAAAGCGUUCUGUACUAUACUAACUGCUACAAAUUACAUUUAGACAAGACUUUGUUACAGCUUUUUUUGUUUGGAAGGUUUUUUAGAAUACAAGAGAGAAAAUGCCUUAUUGCUAUUAAUGUAUAACAUGGGUACGUCAUUUCUUAAUUGUGAUGAUUGAGGGCCUUCAUGCAUGAAUCUAGACAACUGUGUUGACAGUUUAUGUGACGGGUGCUUCAAAGAACUGCAAUUCAUUUGAUUACCCUUAAAUUAUUAAUGUUGUGGCGCCACCUUGUGGUGUCAUUUGUCAAAAUGGUCCGUGGCUUGAUAGUUUUACAGGGGAACCUCGUUAUAUUAUAACACAACACAUCAAAGUUAUAACUGGUUUUAAAGGAAAAUCAGAUUCUAAUUUUGAUUUUAAAGAGACGAAAAACUGUAAUGUUUGAGUGAUAUUUUAUAAGAGUAUCAUGAGUGCUGAAGAUUAACAGUAUUUGUAAGAGGGUUUAAGAGACCCUUCCAAAUACUUAUAUGUGUGCACAAUUUAUAAUCUUCAGAUUUAGCUUAAUUUUAUUGAAGUUCAGGCAGAAUACAAGCCUGUCAGGUAUAUAAGACUUCAGGGUGCAAAGCACUCUGUUUUGCUGUGUAGAGUAGUUUAAUAUAAUUAUUUAUUGAGGGACAUUAUUAUUAUUUUUAUUUUUUGUUUGUUUUUUUUGUUUUUUUACUGCACCCCCAAACCUCAAAGCAUGU